This 546-nucleotide unclassified non-coding RNA is filed under the name Tinaminyssus minisetosum. The stretch from base 257 to 412 matches the Rfam family "5.8S ribosomal RNA". The record is from RNAcentral. Lineage: Eukaryota; Metazoa; Arthropoda; Arachnida; Mesostigmata; Rhinonyssidae.
AGAGGAAGUAAAAGUCGUAACAAGGUUUCCGUAGGUGAACCUGCGGAAGGAUCAUUAGUGACUUGAAAGCCAUUCUCGCUCUCGUGGACGAAUGGUGAAGUAUGAUGACCUAAGCCGCUUGCGGAAGAGGCAUAUUGAGCUUAUGUUAAGUAGUGAUUAAUUACGUGUCGCGUUUUUGACGCGUGUCGCUGACAACUAGCUUGUCGGUUUGACAAAUUACCAAAGUGUGUGCUAUAGAGUGUAGAUGAGUUAGCAAGACUCAAUAUGGAGGAUCACUUAGUCCCUAAAGCGAUGAAAAACGUAGUAAUUUGUGGAAAUUGAUGUGAGUUGUGAAAUUUUGUGAGCAUUGUGUUUUUGAAUGAAAAUUUCAGCAUAGGUGCAAAGUAUCUAUGCUACACUUGUUUCAGUAUAUUGACCUAGCAAUACGUAGUUACUAUUGCUGCAAUGCAAUAGUAUAAGUUUUCCAUAAUCACAAGAGUGAUGCUAAUCUGUGUAAUGGACGUGUAUCUGAACUCAAGUGUGAGAACCCCCUGAAUUUAAGCAUAU